RNAcentral lists this long non-coding RNA (230 nucleotides) under Mytilus galloprovincialis (Mediterranean mussel). The record is from RNAcentral. Lineage: Eukaryota; Metazoa; Mollusca; Bivalvia; Mytilida; Mytilidae.
UUUUUUUCAAAAAUAUUCAUUAUAAUCUCAUAAAUUCGUAUAUAAUUUUAAUAUGUAAAGUGUUUUUUUUAUUAAAGUAAAAAAAAACCAUCUACUAAUCGUAGUCCGAGUUUGUUCAAUAUAUUUCUUCAUAUAAAUAAUGGUAGGCCGAGUUUGUUAUAGUCCGAGUUUGUUAUAGUCCGAUUUUGUUAUAGUCCGAUUUUGUUUUAGUCCGAGUUAUCCAGCAGCGC